AUCUUGUAUUUGGUUUACUAGUUUUCAUAUAUGUUCAAAUUUAUUAUUGAAAAUUAUUGUAUUUACAUUUGAUUAGGGUUUUGAUUUUCAUUAUAGGGCUUGUUAUUCAUCGAGUCUGAUCUAGACUUGCUGUGAGUGAACUUAAGAUUCAGAGGUUCUCAUCUCUUCCAUAAACGAUGGCUCGAGCUUGGUGUGGAUGAUUUGGAUCUGAUCUAGGGUUAUGUUUCUCUCAGAGUUGAAGAUGGACCUGAAUAGAACAGAGAGGCAUAUACUGAAGGAGAUGGGUUUCAUUUGCCAUGUUGAACAUCCUCAUAAAUUUAUAUCAAACUAUCUUGCAGCCCUUGAGGCAUCC
Molecule: non-coding RNA, 352 nt
Organism: Camellia sinensis
Lineage: Eukaryota; Viridiplantae; Streptophyta; Magnoliopsida; Ericales; Theaceae
Source: RefSeq, a predicted model, not a curated record